RNAcentral lists this long non-coding RNA (229 nucleotides) under Elaeis guineensis (African oil palm). Its description in RNAcentral is "long non-coding RNA (EGUI_LNC007787)". Lineage: Eukaryota; Viridiplantae; Streptophyta; Magnoliopsida; Arecales; Arecaceae. The record is from RNAcentral.
GCUAAAGGAUGGGGAUGAGAUGGAAAAUGCAUUGAAGAUCUCUGAAAUCAUGGAGACAAGGUUGAAUAGACUAGUAUAGCACCAGAGAGAUAUAAACAAGUGGUAUAUGGUCUCCAUGGACACUAUAAUUUUUGUUUCAGUCUUUUUUGUUUCAGUCAUUCAGUUGGUCUCAAUUCUCAAACAGAUAUAUUCAUCUUGUUGACCAUAGAUGGAUUUCAAUUUCCAUGGC